This 382-nucleotide ribosomal RNA is filed under the name uncultured eukaryote. RNAcentral's name for it is "SSU rRNA". It matches the Rfam family "Eukaryotic small subunit ribosomal RNA", at positions 587 to 972 of the family's 1831-position model. The record is from RNAcentral.
AGCUCCAAUAGCAUAUAUUAAAGUUGUUGCAGUUAAAAAGCUCGUAGUUGGAUUUCUGGCUGAACAUAUGGGUUCGCUAUUAUGAGUAUGCACCAUACAUGUUUGGCUAUCCUUUGGGAGAGCCACAGUGGCAUUACGUUGUUAGUGUGGGGAUCCCAAUCCUUUACUGUGAAGAACUUAGAGUGUUCAAAGCAGGCUUAUGUCGUUGAAUAUAUUAGCAUGGAAUCAUAACAUAGGACUUUUGUACUAUUUUGUUGGUUUGCACACAAAAGUAUUGAUUAACAGAGACAAUUGAAAUUAUUUGUGUUCCGUUGUCAGAGGUGAAAUUCUUGGAUUUUUGGAAGACAAACUACUGUGAAAGCAUUUAUCAAAGUUGUUUUCA